This is a long non-coding RNA of Chelonoidis abingdonii (Abingdon island giant tortoise), 1965 nucleotides long. RefSeq lists it as uncharacterized. NCBI's taxonomy places the organism in Eukaryota, Metazoa, Chordata, Testudines, Testudinidae. The record is from RefSeq and is a predicted model, not a curated record.
UCCAACUGGAGAACAGGUAUAAAAGCCUGCAGAGCUGCUUGGUCUGGGCUAAUCGCUGGAGGAAAAGGAGGCACGCUGCUAGCUCCUGAGGAGGGAGAGCCUGUGCACCAGAAUCCGGAGGCCAGCCAAGCCAGGACACCCCCUGAUACUCCGACGGAGGACGUCGCAGGAGGAGAACAGACCAGAGGACCCCCUACAGCAGAGAACCUGGCAUUUAUGUGAUCACAGGACCCAGGAAAAUGGAUGGUACGUGACUUUUCAAGUGACAAGUGAGUGAAGCACAAGGCUUUUCGAGACCCUGAUAGAAAACUCUGUAUGAAGGCUUGAGUUCCUGGGUUCAAUAGAUCCCUGAUCCCUGCCACACUCCUAGUCUCUACAGAUCUUCCUCUUCUUCCCACCACUUCCUAGCCCACAUGGGCCUUCUCCACUCAUACUUUUGAGUUUGUAUACAGAUUCAAAGAUUCCAUUCAAGAAUUCCCCACUAAUCUUAUAUGGUAUUUUAUGCUUUGCCUUAUUUAUUUUUGCAUACCGUGACAUAUUACUUUAUUCAUUCCAUUAGCGAAUUCCCCACUAAUCUCAUUAAGGGCUUUUGUAUGCAUAAUGCUGUGACUGCUUCUGCACAGUAUACUCUGUAUUACUGAAUUAACAGCUAUAAGGGAUUACAUAAAGAAGGAUGGAAAUAGUUAAGAUGACAAUACAUUGAAGACUUUCUGGCUUCUAAGAGCUUGUGUCAUGCCUUCCAUUUAUACACUGAAAUUUCUACCAUUGUAGGACAGCCCGCUUUAUGCUUUGCCACAUACAUUUCACUUACACAGUGAAUCACCGCAGUUAUGAGUGAUCAGAUAAUGUAGAAGAGAGUGAUGCUACCUGGUCAAGCUCAUCUAGUAGCAUUAAGAACUAAAGGGAAAUAUUUACAACACAGCAUGAUACCAUUAUGCUGUACAGCACUGUACAAUCUCCAUUUUACUGUAUGACAUCAGUUAGGUCUUCUGAGGUCAUCACCAUGAACACUGGUGAGUCAUCCUCUAAGCUGAAAAAAACAAACAUGUCUCAAAGGAAAGAACAAUCUCUGUAAAAUUGUAAAUGGCCAUUUUUACAUGCUCAAGCUGCAAAGACAGAAGGAGAAGGAAAAAUGUGGUCCCCCAAUUCAGAUCAGUGGCAAUCACCGUUUGCAUGUUUGAUAAGCAUCUUUCCUAAUGUGAAGUAGUGAUGAACUGAACUGUGCAAUAUUCAAUGCAGUGAGAAAUGGAGAUCUACAUCUCCACCUGCAGAAGUGGAAAAUAACGGUGCAGUUGAAAAUCCACAAAACCCUUUGAGGAACUCAGACCCAAACAGAAUGCAGAUGCAGCCACAUUCAGUCAGAUCGUCCCACUAAUCGAGAUGUUGUACAAAGGAAUGGCAAAGGCCAGAGGAAAACAUAUAGCUGGUGCAAGGCUAUGAGGUCUAUAGACUGCCUAUCCACCUCCAUACUUAAACAGUGGCUUGGAGAGCCAGAAUAUCAUAGUGUGAACAUUAUUGCUGUGCUGCCAACCACAAUUUUUUAGCAACCACAGUUCAUGCUGUUCACAGACAUAUGCAAAGAAUCUGAUGUGUCCAGGACAGACCAUUUCUCAUCCAAAAAAUGUUAAGACACCAGGACCUUUAAACAUGCACAAAGAUCUUUUCCAGCAACAAUUAGAUGAGCCUAUUGGUGGAUCAGAUAAUACAAUUUGGUCCAGUUUAGGGGAAGCUGGGCAACAGCAAUCCCUUCCUUAUACUCAGUGAAUGGGUUUGUUGUGUGGCUCACAUGUCUAAUGAUUAUUUCAAAGAGGAGAACACUUUUAAGUACUGAGACAGCACAUUAAAAUAUUGGCAAGAGAGAACACUGGCAAUUGUUUGCCAAUAAUAUCAAUUGCUCAGUGCUGCAAGAUGAAUGGUCAGGGCAGGAAACAGUUUUCCCAUCCUGCAAGAGUUUGAGUUUUUGAA